Pseudoliparis swirei is the source of this 278-nucleotide long non-coding RNA. RefSeq lists it as uncharacterized. The record is from RefSeq and is a predicted model, not a curated record. The transcript has 2 exons. Lineage: Eukaryota; Metazoa; Chordata; Actinopteri; Perciformes; Liparidae.
CGAAGCCCCGCCUCUUCCGGCAGCUUGUUUGGGAGGUGGUGUUUCCUCCUGCAGGUGGAGACUUUACUGGAGUCACAGCUCUGCGGUGACGUCACUGUGAGCCCUCCCUUCCUUUCUCUCCGAGUCGCUGACCCAGAGGAGGAAGUUGAAUAUGUGCAGUCUGUUCGUGCCUUUAACCAACGCUCUGCUGACCCCUGCUGGCCACAGGAGGGAACACACCACCACUUUGGGGAUUUGAUGGGCAACGCUGCAACUCCAAAAUAAAAACUCCAACAGUU